CCUACGGGAGGCAGCAGUGAGGAAUAUUGGUCAAUGGACGAGAGUCUGAACCAGCCAAGUAGCGUGAAGGAUGACUGCCCUAUGGGUUGUAAACUUCUUUUAUAUGGGAAUAAAAUGUUCCACGUGUGGGAUUUUGUAUGUACCAUAUGAAUAAGGAUCGGCUAACUCCGUGCCAGCAGCCGCGGUAAUACGGAGGAUCCGAGCGUUAUCCGGAUUUAUUGGGUUUAAAGGGAGCGUGGGUGGAUUGUUAAGUCAGUUGUGAAAGUUUGCGGCUCAACCGUAAAAUUGCAGUUGAAACUGGCAGUCUUGAGUACAGUAGAGGUGGGCGGAAUGCGUGGUGUAGCGGUGAAAUGCUUAGAUAUCACGAAGAACUCCGAUUGCGAAGGCAGUUCACUGGACUGCAACUGACACUGAGGCUCGAAAGUGUGGGUAUCAAACAGGAUUAGAUACCCGAGUAGUC
RNAcentral lists this ribosomal RNA (460 nucleotides) under uncultured bacterium. RNAcentral's name for it is "partial 16S ribosomal RNA". It matches the Rfam family "Bacterial small subunit ribosomal RNA", at positions 338 to 795 of the family's 1533-position model. The record is from RNAcentral.